This 695-nucleotide ribosomal RNA is filed under the name fungal sp. RNAcentral's name for it is "eukaryotic LSU rRNA". The stretch from base 169 to 322 matches the Rfam family "5.8S ribosomal RNA". The record is from RNAcentral. Lineage: Eukaryota; Fungi.
UUACACAAAUAUGAAGGCGGGCUGGAACCUCUCGGGGUUACAGCCUUGCUGAAUUAUUCACCCUUGUCUUUUGCGUACUUCUUGUUUCCUUGGUGGGUUCGCCCACCACUAGGACAAACAUAAACCUUUUGUAAUUGCAAUCAGCGUCAGUAACAAAUUAAUAAUUACAACUUUCAACAACGGAUCUCUUGGUUCUGGCAUCGAUGAAGAACGCAGCGAAAUGCGAUAAGUAGUGUGAAUUGCAGAAUUCAGUGAAUCAUCGAAUCUUUGAACGCACAUUGCGCCCUUUGGUAUUCCAAAGGGCAUGCCUGUUCGAGCGUCAUUUGUACCCUCAAGCUUUGCUUGGUGUUGGGCGUCUUGUCUCUAGCUUUGCUGGAGACUCGCCUUAAAGUAAUUGGCAGCCGGCCUACUGGUUUCGGAGCGCAGCACAAGUCGCACUCUCUAUCAGCAAAGGUCUAGCAUCCAUUAAGCCUUUUUUUCAACUUUUGACCUCGGAUCAGGUAGGGAUACCCGCUGAACUUAAGCAUAUCAAUAAGCGGAGGAAAAGAAACCAACAGGGAUUGCCCUAGUAACGGCGAGUGAAGCGGCAACAGCUCAAUUUGAAAUCUGGCUCUUUUAGAGUCCGAGUUGUAAUUUGCAGAGGGCGCUUUGGCUUUUGGCAGCGGUCCAAGUUCCUUGGAACAGGACGUCACAGA